Molecule: ribosomal RNA, 643 nt
Filed under: uncultured bacterium
Lineage: Bacteria
Description: bacterial SSU rRNA
Rfam family: Bacterial small subunit ribosomal RNA (bases 1-546)
Source: RNAcentral
CCUACGGGAGGCAGCAGUAGGGAAUCUUCCGCAAUGGACGAAAGUCUGACGGAGCAACGCCGCGUGAACGAUGAAGGCCUUCGGGUCGUAAAGUUCUGUUGUUAGGGAAGAACAAGUGUUAGUUGAAUAAGCUGGCACCUUGACGGUACCUAACCAGAAAGCCACGGCUAACUACGUGCCAGCAGCCGCGGUAAUACGUAGGUGGCAAGCGUUGUCCGGAAUUAUUGGGCGUAAAGCGCGCGCAGGCGGUUUCUUAAGUCUGAUGUGAAAGCCCCCGGCUCAACCGGGGAGGGUCAUUGGAAACUGGGAAACUUGAGUGCAGAAGAGGAAAGUGGAAUUCCAAGUGUAGCGGUGAAAUGCGUAGAGAUUUGGAGGAACACCAGUGGCGAAGGCGACUUUCUGGUCUGUAAACUGACGCUGAGGCGCGAAAGCGUGGGGAGCAAACAGGAUUAGAUACCCUGGUAGUCCACGCUGUAAACGAUGAGUGCUAAGUGUUAGAGGGUUUCCGCCUUUAGUGCUGAAGUUAACCGNAUUAAGCACUCCGCCGUGGGGAGUACGGUCGCAAAGACGUAGAACGUAACUAAAGUAGUUAAGUUAGUACGGACGUUGAGACGUUGCCGACGGACGACGACGAGGGAGGAGG